GACGAACGCUGGCGGCGUGCCUAAUACAUGCAAGUCGAGCGGAACUGGGGGAGCUUGCUCCUUCCAGUUUAGCGGCGGACGGGUGAGUAACACGUGGGCAACCUGCCCUGCAGAUCGGGAUAACUCCGGGAAACCGGUGCUAAUACCGAAUAGUUUGGCGCCUCUCCUGAGGCGCUACGGAAAGACGGUUUCGGCUGUCACUGCAGGAUGGGCCCGCGGCGCAUUAGCUAGUUGGUGGGGUAACGGCCCACCAAGGCGACGAUGCGUAGCCGACCUGAGAGGGUGCCCGGCCACACUGGGACUGAGACACGGCCCAGACUCCUACGGGAGGCAGCAGUUGGGAAUCUUCCGCAAUGGACGCAAGUCUGACGGAGCAACGCCGCGUGAGUGACGAAGGUUUUCGGAUCGUAAAACUCUGUUGUGAGGGAAGAACACGUACCAACUAACUAUUGGUACCUUGACGGUACCUCACCAGAAAGCCACGGCUAACUACGUGCCAGCCGCCGCCGUAA
RNAcentral lists this ribosomal RNA (512 nucleotides) under uncultured bacterium. RNAcentral describes it as "partial 16S ribosomal RNA". It matches the Rfam family "Bacterial small subunit ribosomal RNA", at positions 28 to 523 of the family's 1533-position model. The record is from RNAcentral.